GUGCGCACAACAUAAAAUAGUGUGCGUUAAAUUCUUUGACCUUACACAUGGUACGGGGUUCAAUGUCUCCUUUUUAAAGUGACAGAAUGGAGAAAUGCAUAAGGUUUUCUUUUGAAAUGGGGCUAGAUUACAUGGAAAUACUCUAGCAAAAAAUCAUCAGUGCAUUUGUAUCGACUCCUGACAUGACUACUGAAUAAAUUACGUUUAUUUCG
This 212-nucleotide long non-coding RNA is filed under the name Mytilus galloprovincialis (Mediterranean mussel). The record is from RNAcentral. Lineage: Eukaryota; Metazoa; Mollusca; Bivalvia; Mytilida; Mytilidae.